AAUCGAAGAGGCUCUUUUCUUGUGUGUCAAGGCAUUGGAAUUAGAGGUUCAGAUAGGUAAUGACGAUCUUAACCUUAGCUAUGCCCUUGCUCUUGCUCUAUUUAUAGAUACAGAUUCAUGAGUUGGGAAAUUUGAACACCAACACUAAACUUUUCCAUUAAUAAAUCUGAUAGAGAAGUUUACAAUACAAUCAAAGAUGAGUUAUAAACACAAGGAUUAAUGAUCUGACGAACAGGGGCGGAUACGGGUCACGUGCCCCCAACUAAUUUUUUUUAUUUUGUUUGUAUUCAGUUGAAAUUUUGAGUUUUUGAAGCAAUUAGCUCAAAUCAUAUGAUAAUGCGCCCGUCUAAUUUAAAAGUUUGUAGCUGUGCCCCGAUUAAAAGUUCUCCUAGAUCCGCCACUGCUGACGAAUGAAGAAUCUCUCAAAUACAGAGCCAGUGCUAGAUCCGACCGCUGAUGUUUGGUUUUUGUGACUCUUAAACCCUCAAGCUGUGCAUCUACUUCCGUCAUCUUUGGCCUUUCCUCUCUUGUCGCUCUUGUACACUUAACAGCAACUCUUGCCGCUUCCUGGAUCUCUCUAUAAUAAUUCUCAUUCAUCAUUUUCCCAUCAAUAACCUCGUGCAACCUAUUCUCUUUGGUGGCACAAGAAAAGUAGCUCACCAGAUGUUUCGAGUAUUGUUGUGAGCUGCUCUUUAUCCUUUGGUAUCAGCUUUGAAGCACCAAAGUCAGCUACUUUUGGAGUUAAGUGUUCAUCCAGGAGAAUAUUAGCAGUCUUGACAUCACGGUGGAUGAUUGGAAUAGAAGCAGAGGAGUGAAGGUAGGCAAGAGUUCCAGCAAUUUCCACAACUAUUCUUGCAUCACAAACUCUGCUACAAAUUUACAUGUCAAGGUUCUUAUUUGGUAGUUGUAUGAAAAAAGAUUAUAACAAAAUAAAACCAUUUUUGGUUAUAUUAUUAUUUUAAACAACAUAUAAAAGUAUAAAAGAAUCGUUUUGGUUUGAAUGUCACAUGUUUAGUCACUGAACGCAACGCUGGUAAUAUCAAACCUAUUUUUAAUUUAUAAUGUAAAUUCACAUUGUUUGUGAUUUUGGUGAUAUCAAUUAUGUUUUUUUAAUUUAUGAAAUAUAUUCAAAUUUUCUGUGGUC
Brassica napus (rape) is the source of this 1144-nucleotide long non-coding RNA. RefSeq lists it as uncharacterized. The transcript has 2 exons. The record is from RefSeq and is a predicted model, not a curated record. Lineage: Eukaryota; Viridiplantae; Streptophyta; Magnoliopsida; Brassicales; Brassicaceae.